This is a non-coding RNA of Caenorhabditis elegans, 311 nucleotides long. The record is from Ensembl. Lineage: Eukaryota; Metazoa; Nematoda; Chromadorea; Rhabditida; Rhabditidae.
UCUUGGCUUCUGUGCUCAUCUUUUCAACCCCCCCCCCCUUACAUUGCAUGAAUAACAAGGAGUGCGGCUCAUUUUGCCGCCAAUUAGAAUGUGUAGGGUCGGAGGCGUGCGGGCGGAGUCAGUGGCAGAUCUAGAGUCAGAGGAAAUUUACAAUGUCAUCGUGGCUCGGGACAACUAGCUUCAUCGGGACAAAGUUAAGGGGUCCCGUACCUCAUCUUGAAAGAAGCGCACACCAUUUUCUCAUUUAUUAUGACCGACGAGGCGGCGGGAUGUGUUGAUGUCCGGUACCUAGUUGGAUACAAUUACCGUAG